CCUACGGGAGGCAGCAGUGGGGAAUUUUGGACAAUGGGCGAAAGCCUGAUCCAGCCAUUCCGCGUGCAGGAUGAGGGCCCUCGGGUUGUAAACUGCUUUUGUACAGAACGAAAAGGUUUCUACUAAUACUAGGAGCUCAUGACGGUACUGUAAGAAUAAGCACCGGCUAACUACGUGCCAGCAGCCGCGGUAAUACGUAGGGUGCAAGCGUUAAUCGGAAUUACUGGGCGUAAAGCGUGCGCAGGCGGUUAUAUAAGUCAGAUGUGAAAUCCCCGGGCUCAACCUGGGAACUGCAUUUGAGACUGUAUAGCUAGAGUACGGUAGAGGGGGAUGGAAUUCCGCGUGUAGCAGUGAAAUGCGUAGAUAUGCGGAGGAACACCGAUGGCGAAGGCAAUCCCCUGGACCUGUACUGACGCUCAUGCACGAAAGCGUGGGGAGCAAACAGGAUUAGAUACCCUGGUAGUCCACGCCCUAAACGAUGUCAACUGGUUGUUGGGUCUUAACUGACUCAGUAACGAAGCUAACGCGUGAAGUUGACCGCCUGGGGAGUACGGCCGCAAGGUUGAAACUUAAAGGAAUUGACGG
RNAcentral lists this ribosomal RNA (585 nucleotides) under uncultured bacterium. RNAcentral's name for it is "bacterial SSU rRNA". It matches the Rfam family "Bacterial small subunit ribosomal RNA", at positions 338 to 916 of the family's 1533-position model. The record is from RNAcentral.